UCGCAGGCUGCAACCCGCCUGCGUGAAGUUGGAAUCGCUAGUAAUCGCGGAUCAGCAUGCCGCGGUGAAUACGUUCCCGGGCCUUGUACACACCGCCCGUCACACCAUGAGAGUCGGGAACACCCGAAGUCCGUAGCCUAACUUUAACGAGGGGGCGCGGCCGAAGGUGGGUUCGAUAAUUGGGGUGAAGUCGUAACAAGGUACC
RNAcentral lists this ribosomal RNA (205 nucleotides) under uncultured bacterium. Its description in RNAcentral is "partial 16S ribosomal RNA". It matches the Rfam family "Bacterial small subunit ribosomal RNA", at positions 1298 to 1500 of the family's 1533-position model. The record is from RNAcentral.